RNAcentral lists this long non-coding RNA (292 nucleotides) under Physcomitrium patens. RNAcentral describes it as "long non-coding RNA (PPAT_LNC005354)". The record is from RNAcentral. Lineage: Eukaryota; Viridiplantae; Streptophyta; Bryopsida; Funariales; Funariaceae.
UUUUAGGAUUUUCUUUCUAUUUAAUAAGUGCAAUUAUCUUCAAAUUUUUUAAACUUGUUAACUUAUUUUUUGAAAAGUAUAUAAAAUUUUAAGCAAGAUCAAUAGUUUAAUCAAUAGAUAUUGAGAUUUUAAAUUAUACUAAGAUUUGAUUGAUUUGGUUAGAAUUUGAUUAAGAUUUGCUUAGGAUUUAGGAUUUAUUAUUUACUUAGGAUUUAGGAUUUAAGAUUUGAUUAGGUUUUAAGGUUUAGGAUUUUUUUAGAAUUUAAGAUUUAAGAUUUGCUUAAGAUUUAAG